GAUGAACGCUGGCGGCGUGCCUAAUACAUGCCAGUCGAGCGAACGGACGAGAAGCUUGCUUCUCUGAUGUUAGCGGCGGACGGGUGAGUAACACGUGGAUAACCUACCUAUAAGACUGGGAUAACUUCGGGAAACCGGAGCUAAUACCGGAUAAUAUUUUGAACCGCAUGGUUCAAAAGUGAAAGACGGUCCUGCUGUCACUUAUAGAUGGAUCCGCGCUGCAUUAGCUAGUUGGUAAGGUAACGGCUUACCAAGGCAACGAUGCAUAGCCGACCUGAGAGGGUGAUCGGCCACACUGGAACUGAGACACGGUCCAGACUCCUACGGGAGGCAGCAGUAGGGAAUCUUCCGCAAUGGGCGAAAGCCUGACGGAGCAACGCCGCGUGAGUGAUGAAGGUCUUCGGAUCGUAAAACUCUGUUAUUAGGGAAGAACAUAUGUGUAAGUAACUGUGCACAUCUUGACGGUACCUAAUCAGAAAGCCACGGCUAACUACGUG
This 497-nucleotide ribosomal RNA is filed under the name uncultured bacterium. RNAcentral's name for it is "partial 16S ribosomal RNA". It matches the Rfam family "Bacterial small subunit ribosomal RNA", at positions 28 to 507 of the family's 1533-position model. The record is from RNAcentral.